AUUGAACGCUGGCGGCAGGCCUAACACAUGCAAGUCGAGCGGAUGAAGGGAGCUUGCUCCUGGAUUCAGCGGCGGACGGGUGAGUAAUGCCUAGGAAUCUGCCUGGUAGUGGGGGAUAACGUCCGGAAACGGGCGCUAAUACCGCAUACGUCCUGAGGGAGAAAGUGGGGGAUCUUCGGACCUCACGCUAUCAGAUGAGCCUAGGUCGGAUUAGCUAGUUGGUGGGGUAAAGGCCUACCAAGGCGACGAUCCGUAACUGGUCUGAGAGGAUGAUCAGUCACACUGGAACUGGGACACGGUCCAGACUCCUACGGGAGGCAGCAGUGGGGAAUAUUGGACAAUGGGCGAAAGCCUGAUCCAGCCAUGCCACGUGUGUGAAGAAGGUCUUCGGAUUGUAAAGCACUUUAAGUUGGGAGGAAGGGCAGUAAGUUAAUACCUUGCUGUUUUGACGUUACCAACAGAAUAAGCACCGGCUAACUUCGUG
RNAcentral lists this ribosomal RNA (484 nucleotides) under uncultured bacterium. Its description in RNAcentral is "partial 16S ribosomal RNA". It matches the Rfam family "Bacterial small subunit ribosomal RNA", at positions 30 to 507 of the family's 1533-position model. The record is from RNAcentral.